RNAcentral lists this ribosomal RNA (739 nucleotides) under Buttiauxella sp. 110518_136_C_A9. Its description in RNAcentral is "bacterial SSU rRNA". It matches the Rfam family "Bacterial small subunit ribosomal RNA", at positions 19 to 747 of the family's 1533-position model. The record is from RNAcentral. Lineage: Bacteria; Pseudomonadati; Pseudomonadota; Gammaproteobacteria; Enterobacterales; Enterobacteriaceae.
AUGGCUCAGAUUGAACGCUGGCGGCAGGCCUAACACAUGCAAGUCGAGCGGUAGCACAGGAGAGCUUGCUCUCUGGGUGACGAGCGGCGGACGGGUGAGUAAUGUCUGGGAAACUGCCCGAUGGAGGGGGAUAACUACUGGAAACGGUAGCUAAUACCGCAUAACGUCUUCGGACCAAAGAGGGGGACCUUCGGGCCUCUUGCCAUCGGAUGUGCCCAGAUGGGAUUAGCUAGUAGGUGGGGUAAUGGCUCACCUAGGCGACGAUCCCUAGCUGGUCUGAGAGGAUGACCAGCCACACUGGAACUGAGACACGGUCCAGACUCCUACGGGAGGCAGCAGUGGGGAAUAUUGCACAAUGGGCGCAAGCCUGAUGCAGCCAUGCCGCGUGUAUGAAGAAGGCCUUCGGGUUGUAAAGUACUUUCAGCGAGGAGGAAGGCGUUGCGGUUAAUAACCGCAGCGAUUGACGUUACUCGCAGAAGAAGCACCGGCUAACUCCGUGCCAGCAGCCGCGGUAAUACGGAGGGUGCAAGCGUUAAUCGGAAUUACUGGGCGUAAAGCGCACGCAGGCGGUCUGUCAAGUCGGAUGUGAAAUCCCCGGGCUCAACCUGGGAACUGCAUUCGAAACUGGCAGGCUAGAGUCUUGUAGAGGGGGGUAGAAUUCCAGGUGUAGCGGUGAAAUGCGUAGAGAUCUGGAGGAAUACCGGUGGCGAAGGCGGCCCCCUGGACAAAGACUGACGCU